RNAcentral lists this non-coding RNA (952 nucleotides) under Mene maculata. RNAcentral's name for it is "12S ribosomal RNA". It matches the Rfam family "Bacterial small subunit ribosomal RNA". The record is from RNAcentral. Lineage: Eukaryota; Metazoa; Chordata; Actinopteri; Menidae.
CAAAGGCUUGGUCCUGACUUUACUAUCAGCUUUAGCCAAACUUACACAUGCAAGUAUCCGCACCCCCGUGAGAAUGCCCACAGUCCCCUGCUUGGGAACAAGGAGCUGGUAUCAGGCACCCCCCCCCCACAGCCCACGACACCUUGCUUAGCCACACCCUCAAGGGAACUCAGCAGUGACAGACAUUAAGCCAUAAGUGAAAACUUGACUUAGUCAAAGCUAAGAGGGCCGGUAAAACUCGUGCCAGCCACCGCGGUUAUACGAGAGGCCCAAGUUGAUAAACAGCGGCGUAAAGAGUGGUUAAGGAACACUGACAAACUAAAGCCAAACACUUUCAGAGCUGUUAUACGCACCUGAAAGCAUGAAGCCCAACCACGAAAGUGGCUUUAUCACCCCUGAACCCACGAAAGCUAAGAAACAAACUGGGAUCAGAUACCCCACUAUGCUUAGCCCUAAACAUCGAUCACACCCUACACUUAACAUCCGCCCGGGAACUACGAACACCAGUUUAAAACCCAAAGGACUUGGCGGUGCUUUACAUCCACCUAGAGGAGCCUGUUCUAGAACCGAUAACCCCCGUUCAACCUCACCCUCCCUUGCUUAUCCCGCCUAUAUACCACCGUCGUCAGCUUACCCUGUGAAGGCCCAAUAGUAAGCAAAAUUGGCAUAGCCCAAAACGUCAGGUCGAGGUGUAGCGUAUGAGAGGGGAAGAAAUGGGCUACAUUCACUAGCAGUAGUGAAUUUACGAAAAAUGCAUUGAAACAUGCAAUUGAAGGAGGAUUUAGUAGUAAGCAGGAAGUAGAGUGUCCCGCUGAAACCGGCCCUAAAGCAUGCACACACCGCCCGUCACCCUCCCCGAACCCACAACCAAACCAUAAAUAAUAAACUAUAACCGCAAAGGGGAGGAAAGUCGUAACAUGGUAAGUGUACCGGAAGGUGUACUUGGAAAAAC